This 199-nucleotide long non-coding RNA is filed under the name Elaeis guineensis (African oil palm). Its description in RNAcentral is "long non-coding RNA (EGUI_LNC064173)". Lineage: Eukaryota; Viridiplantae; Streptophyta; Magnoliopsida; Arecales; Arecaceae. The record is from RNAcentral.
CAGGCGGUCAGGGAUGCCGAGGCGGAGUUCGAAGUUCUGCAGAAGAGGCUUCAAAAGUCAGAGGGCAAAAGCCGACGGUUCCACCAAAUAUACCGGAAGAUGCUUUUCAGAAAGAAGAAACUAGAAGAAGAAGUCAAAAACUUAAAGCAAUCCCUGACAAUGGCUGGAACCGAGAGUUUGAAGUCUGAAGAAGCCAAGC